This 257-nucleotide ribosomal RNA is filed under the name uncultured prokaryote. RNAcentral describes it as "partial 16S ribosomal RNA". It matches the Rfam family "Bacterial small subunit ribosomal RNA", at positions 524 to 780 of the family's 1533-position model. The record is from RNAcentral.
UACGGAGGAUGCGAGCGUUAUCCGGAUUUAUUGGGCGUAAAGAGCGCGCAGGUGGUUGAUUAAGUCUGAUGUGAAAGCCCACGGCUUAACCGUGGAGGGUCAUUGGAAACUGGUCGACUUGAGUGCAGAAGAGGGAAGUGGAAUUCCAUGUGUAGCGGUGAAAUGCGUAGAGAUGUGGAGGAACACCAGUGGCGAAGGCGACUCUCUGGUCUGUAACUGACGCUGAGGUGCGAAAGCGUGGGUAGCAAACAGGAUUA